GCGCCCGUAGCUCAGUUGGAUAGAGCAUCGCCCUUCUAAGGCGAGGGUCGCUGGUUCGAUUCCAGCCGGGCGCACCA
This 77-nucleotide transfer RNA is filed under the name Nitrospira sp. RNAcentral's name for it is "tRNA-Arg". It matches the Rfam family "tRNA". From Rfam's summary of the family: Transfer RNA (tRNA) molecules are approximately 80 nucleotides in length. The record is from RNAcentral. RNAcentral also lists the same sequence under 2 other names. Lineage: Bacteria; Pseudomonadati; Nitrospirota; Nitrospiria; Nitrospirales; Nitrospiraceae.